This 32-nucleotide non-coding RNA is filed under the name Mus musculus (house mouse). The record is from RNAcentral. Lineage: Eukaryota; Metazoa; Chordata; Mammalia; Rodentia; Muridae.
UGGAUGUGGACCUACCUUUAAGUGUAGUUAGU